RNAcentral lists this long non-coding RNA (251 nucleotides) under Malus domestica (apple). Its description in RNAcentral is "long non-coding RNA (MDOM_LNC016880)". The record is from RNAcentral. Lineage: Eukaryota; Viridiplantae; Streptophyta; Magnoliopsida; Rosales; Rosaceae.
AAAGGUUUAGGAUUGAUGGGUGGUGUGGCUAGGGGUGGUUUUUGGCUAAAUUUGGAGAGAAAAUCUGUUCUCCUUUUGAUGAAUAUGGAAGGUGGUAUUUAUAGGCUUGAGAUAGGACCACUCCAUUUCCUUUGCAUGUGAGCUUGUGUGGGUGUGUGUUGGCAUGUUUCCUCUUUACAUUUACACACACAUGAUUCAUCAUUUCAACCACAACACACACACAUUUUCUGCCCUAUUUUCCUUUACAUUUA